AUGCAGCUGCAAAUUGGUAUUGGACUGAAAGACAGAGGCAUAAGUCGUCAGAAACCUCAGACAGCAAAGAAACGAAGGCAGCUUCACCAGAGACAGCUCUGGCCAGUUGGUCAAAAGAACUCUCUGCUGAAGAGAAGCAGCGAUUUGCGGGGGCAACUGAAGGCAUGGUGUCAUGACCCAGAGGACCCUGAUGCAUGUGGAAUAUCAAAUAAAAUUGUAUUCAUCAAUGCAUCGAAUCCCCACCCUGGCGCUCCCCUGAGUUUGAGGGAGCCAAGCCUGCUUAUGGGCAGAAAAAGCACAGUCAGAACAAAAACCGGAGCAAUUCUUUACCUCCACUGCAGCCCUACCUAGAACAUCUGAUUGUUCAAUAGACCACAGACAGUCACCUGCCCAUUAGAGAGUAUUUUCAAUGACUCUUCACACCUGCUCUGAAGAAACUUUUUGCACUGACUCCCACUCACACACCCACCCUUACAUACAGUGCCUUCAGAAAGUAUUCACACCCCUUGACUUUUUUCACGUUGUUGUGUUACAGCCUGAAUUUAAAAUGUAUGAAAUUGAGAUUUUAUGUCACUAGCCUACACACAAU
Molecule: long non-coding RNA, 589 nt
Organism: Oncorhynchus tshawytscha (Chinook salmon)
Lineage: Eukaryota; Metazoa; Chordata; Actinopteri; Salmoniformes; Salmonidae
Source: Ensembl